AGGAGGGGCUCGGUGCAGGCUAAUCCACGCGCGGAGUCCAGGGUCCCUCUACAGCGGUUUCCCUGGGAACCACUCUGGCUGGAAAUCCUGUGGCUGCCUUUGGAGGAUGUGAACUCUCCUGGGAUGGACCAGAAGUGCUCUGCGCUCUGCUAUUAACCCCAUGAAAAGAGUUCUUUCCAGAUAAGCGGAUACUUGCGGCUGCGUGGAGUGGAUCCCAGUCCCAGUUUGCUACCAGCAAUCCCAACCCAAGACACAGAUGAGCAUUGUCUGGGAAAGCACACUGUCGUCACCUGCCUCCCCCAUCCCGGUCCCCACCACUCUCUGACUGAUGCCAUCGCCUAGAUGAUAAAGCGCCCGUCACUCAAGCACAGAAGUCGAAAUUCAUAGUUCAUUUCUUUACUUAUGUAAGAUCAUUCACUGACAAAAGAACUCAAAUGGAAAGGCUUUGGGCAUAUGCAGAAACGGGGAGAAAAAAAUAAUCUCUCCGAGUCAGAAGCCUCGGGGGAGCAUAGCAAGACUUAUCAAAGUUACAGUGCUCCAUUUGGAAAGCGCCAACCGCCAGCCCUCGGGCGAGGUGCAGUGGUGCAUAAUUAAUGUAGUCCCAGACACAGGUCACUGAAGUGCCCCACAGGUGUGUGCCUGGUUUUCAAUAAGGCCUUUCCCUCGGAACUCCUCUUCCGACUUUGAGUUUGUGCUCCCGGAAGCCUUGCACGAUCGGGAGAAUUCAGAAGAACGAUCUGAAUGCCCAUCAAUAGAAAAUGGCAAGAAAUUACGGCAGAUCUAGUCUCUGGAAUCCUAGGUAUUUGGGGAAAAGAAGCAAGCUGGGUCCCAAAACACUGAUAUAGAAAAGUGGC
This 854-nucleotide long non-coding RNA is filed under the name Mus musculus (house mouse). Lineage: Eukaryota; Metazoa; Chordata; Mammalia; Rodentia; Muridae. The record is from RNAcentral.